RNAcentral lists this unclassified non-coding RNA (104 nucleotides) under soil metagenome. Its description in RNAcentral is "partial internal transcribed spacer 1". The record is from RNAcentral.
AAAAACUUUUAUCCGAGAAUUCGUUUCGUUUUUUCCGGAUUAUUUGUAUUCAAAUCCCACUCUUUAUAAAUAUAUCAAUUAUAUAAAACAAAAAUAAAAAAAGA